This 497-nucleotide ribosomal RNA is filed under the name uncultured bacterium. RNAcentral describes it as "partial 16S ribosomal RNA". It matches the Rfam family "Bacterial small subunit ribosomal RNA", at positions 28 to 507 of the family's 1533-position model. The record is from RNAcentral.
GAUGAACGCUGGCGGCGUGCCUAAUACAUGCAAGUCGAGCGAACAGACGAGGAGCUUGCUCCUCUGACGUUAGCGGCGGACGGGUGAGUAACACGUGGAUAACCUACCUAUAAGACUGGGAUAACUUCGGGAAACCGGAGCUAAUACCGGAUAAUAUAUUGAACCGCAUGGUUCAAUAGUGAAAGACGGUUUUGCUGUCACUUAUAGAUGGAUCCGCGCCGCAUUAGCUAGUUGGUAAGGUAACGGCUUACCAAGGCAACGAUGCGUAGCCGACCUGAGAGGGGGGUCGGCCACACUGGAACUGAGACACGGUCCAGACUCCUACGGGAGGCAGCAGUAGGGAAUCUUCCGCAAUGGGCGAAAGCCUGACGGAGCAACGCCGCGUGGGUGAUGAAGGUCUUCGGAUCGUAAAACUCUGUUAUUAGGGAAGAACAAAUGUGUAAGUAACUAUGCACGUCUUGACGGUACCUAAUCAGAAAGCCACGGCUAACUACGUG